Centruroides sculpturatus (bark scorpion) is the source of this 157-nucleotide small nuclear RNA. RefSeq annotates it as U1 spliceosomal RNA. The record is from RefSeq and is a predicted model, not a curated record. The transcript has a single exon. Lineage: Eukaryota; Metazoa; Arthropoda; Arachnida; Scorpiones; Buthidae.
AUAUUUAUAAACUUUAAAAUCAAACCGAUAGCCGCUCCCCCAGGGUGAGGCUUGACCAUUGCAUUUGGGUCUAGCUAACCCCUGCCACUACUCCAAACUGGGACAGAUGGGGAGUGUAAUUUGUGGUAGCUGGGGACUGCGUUCGUGCUCUCUCCUU